RNAcentral lists this small nuclear RNA (107 nucleotides) under Phocoena sinus (vaquita). Lineage: Eukaryota; Metazoa; Chordata; Mammalia; Artiodactyla; Phocoenidae. The record is from RNAcentral.
GUGCUCGCUUCAGCAGCACAUACACUAAAAUUGGAACGAUACAGAGAAGAUUAGCAUAGCCCCUGCACAAAGAUGACACGCAAAUUCGUGAAGCAUUCCAUAUUUUU